GACGAACGCUGGCGGCGUGCUUAACACAUGCAAGUCGAGCGGUAAGGCCCUUUCGGGGGUACGACGAGCGGCGAACGGGUGAGUAACACGUGGGUGACCUGCCUUUAGCUCUGGGAUAAGCCUGGGAAACUGGGUCUAAUACCGGAUAUGACUCCGCGGUGCAUGCUGUGGGGUGGAAAGCCUUGUGCGGCUGGAGAUGGGCCCGCGGCCUAUCAGCUUGUUGGUGGGGUGAUGGCCUACCAAGGCGACGACGGGUAGCCGGCCUGAGAGGGCGACCGGCCACACUGGGACUGAGACACGGCCCAGACUCCUACGGGAGGCAGCAGUGGGGAAUCUUGCGCAAUGGGCGAAAGCCUGACGCAGCGACGCCGCGUGAGGGAUGACGGCCUCGGUU
RNAcentral lists this ribosomal RNA (394 nucleotides) under uncultured bacterium. Its description in RNAcentral is "bacterial SSU rRNA". It matches the Rfam family "Bacterial small subunit ribosomal RNA", at positions 28 to 424 of the family's 1533-position model. The record is from RNAcentral.